GAUUAGGUGGCUGACGAAUAGCGGUUGAUUGUAAAUCAUCUUAUGGGAUAGUUCCCUCUAAUCA
Molecule: transfer RNA, 64 nt
Filed under: Trachytettix bufo
Lineage: Eukaryota; Metazoa; Arthropoda; Insecta; Orthoptera; Tetrigidae
Description: tRNA-Tyr
Source: RNAcentral